This 555-nucleotide ribosomal RNA is filed under the name uncultured bacterium. RNAcentral describes it as "partial 16S ribosomal RNA". It matches the Rfam family "Bacterial small subunit ribosomal RNA", at positions 355 to 900 of the family's 1533-position model. The record is from RNAcentral.
UGGGGAAUAUUGCACAAUGGGCGCAAGCCUGAUGCAGCCAUGCCGCGUGUGUGAAGAAGGCCUUCGGGUUGUAAAGCACUUUCAGCGAGGAGGAAGGGUAGUGUGUUAAUAGCACAUUGCAUUGACGUUACUCGCAGAAGAAGCACCGGCUAACUCCGUGCCAGCAGCCGCGGUAAUACGGAGGGUGCAAGCGUUAAUCGGAAUUACUGGGCGUAAAGCGCACGCAGGCGGUUUGUUAAGUCAGAUGUGAAAUCCCCGCGCUUAACGUGGGAACUGCAUUUGAAACUGGCAAGCUAGAGUCUUGUAGAGGGGGGUAGAAUUCCAGGUGUAGCGGUGAAAUGCGUAGAGAUCUGGAGGAAUACCGGUGGCGAAGGCGGCCCCCUGGACAAAGACUGACGCUCAGGUGCGAAAGCGUGGGGAGCAAAACAGGAUUAGAUACCCUGGUAGUCCACGCUGUAAACGAUGUCGACUUGGAGGUUGUGCCCUUGAGGCGUGGCUUCCGGAGCUAACGCGUUAAGUCGNCCGCCUGGGGGAGUACGGCCGCAAGGUUAAAAC